RNAcentral lists this ribosomal RNA (468 nucleotides) under uncultured bacterium. RNAcentral's name for it is "partial 16S ribosomal RNA". It matches the Rfam family "Bacterial small subunit ribosomal RNA", at positions 28 to 507 of the family's 1533-position model. The record is from RNAcentral.
GACGAACGCUGGCGGCGUGCUUAACACAUGCAAGUCGAACGGAAAGGCCCUGCUUUUGUGGGGUGCUCGAGUGGCGAACGGGUGAGUAACACGUGAGUAACCUGCCCUUGACUUUGGGAUAACUUCAGGAAACUGGGGCUAAUACCGGAUAGGAGCUCCUGCUGCAUGGUGGGGGUUGGAAAGUUUCGGCGGUUGGGGAUGGACUCGCGGCUUAUCAGCUUGUUGGUGGGGUAGUGGCUUACCAAGGCUUUGAUGGGUAGCCGGCCUGAGAGGGUGACCGGCCACAGUGGGACUGAGAUACGGCCCAGACUCCUACGGGAGGCAGCAGUGGGGAAUAUUGCACAAUGGGCGGAAGCCUGAUGCAGCAACGCCGCGUGCGGGAUGACGGCCUUCGGGUUGUAAACCGCUUUCGCCUGUGACGAAGCGUGAGUGACGGUAAUGGGUAAAGAAGCACCGGCUAACUACGUG